This 626-nucleotide long non-coding RNA is filed under the name Physcomitrium patens. Its description in RNAcentral is "long non-coding RNA (PPAT_LNC002787)". Lineage: Eukaryota; Viridiplantae; Streptophyta; Bryopsida; Funariales; Funariaceae. The record is from RNAcentral.
UAGGAUUUGAUUAGGAUUUAAUUUAGGAUUUAGGAUUUGAUUAGGAUUUGAUUUAGGAUUUAAGAUUUGAUUAAGGUUUGAUUUAAGUUUUAGGAUUUGAUUUAGGAUUUAUGAUUUGGUUAGGAUUUGGUUAGGACUUGGUUAGAAUUUGGUUAGAAUUUGAUUAGGGUUUGAUUUAAAAUUUAGAAUUUGAUUAAAAUUUGAUUUAGGAUUUAGGAUUUGAUUUAAGAUUUAAGAUUUGAUUAAGAUUUGGUUUAGGAUUUAGGAUUUGAUUAGGAUUUGAUUUAAGAUUUAGGAUUUGAUUAGGAUUUGAUUUAAGAUUUAGGAUUUAGUUAGGAUUUCUCUAGAAUUUGGUUUAAGAUUUAGGAUUGAUUAGGAUUUGAUUUAGGAUUUAAAGUUAGUCUAGGAUUUGAUUGAAGUCUAUUAGGAUUUCAAUUAGGAUUAAAUUAAAAUUUAAUUGAGAUUUAUUUAAGAUAUAUUGUGAUUAUUUUAAUAUUUUUUUAGGAUUUUUUAAAGAUUCUUUUAAGGUUUAUUGUGAAUUAUCUUUUAACUCCUUUAAGAUUUCUUAUUGUUUCUUUUAUAAUUUAUUUAAGGUUUUUUAAAAAUUAGAUUAAAUCUUAAUUAAC